This 389-nucleotide ribosomal RNA is filed under the name uncultured bacterium. RNAcentral describes it as "bacterial SSU rRNA". It matches the Rfam family "Bacterial small subunit ribosomal RNA", at positions 28 to 418 of the family's 1533-position model. The record is from RNAcentral.
GACGAACGCUGGCGGCGUGCUUAACACAUGCAAGUCGAGCGGUAAGGCCCUUUCGGGGGUACACGAGCGGCGAACGGGUGAGUAACACGUGGGUGACCUGCCCUCAGCUCUGGGAUAAGCCUGGGAAACCGGGUCUAAUACCGGAUAUGACUCCAUGACGCAUGUUGUGGGGUGGAAAGCCUUGUGCGGCUGAGGAUGGGCCCGCGGCCUAUCAGCUUGUUGGUGGGGUGAUGGCCUACCAAGGCGACGACGGGUAGCCGGCCUGCGAGGGCGACCGGCCACACUGGGACUGAGACACGGCCCAGACUCCUACGGGAGGCAGCAGUGGGGAAUCUUGCGCAAUGGGCGAAAGCCUGACGCAGCGACGCCGCGUGAGGGAUGACGGCCUC